This 484-nucleotide ribosomal RNA is filed under the name uncultured bacterium. RNAcentral describes it as "partial 16S ribosomal RNA". It matches the Rfam family "Bacterial small subunit ribosomal RNA", at positions 30 to 507 of the family's 1533-position model. The record is from RNAcentral.
AUUGAACGCUGGCGGCAGGCCUAACACAUGCAAGUCGAGCGGAUGAAGGGAGCUUGCUCCUGGAUUCAGCGGCGGACGGGUGAGUAAUGCCUAGGAAUCUGCCUGGUAGUGGGGGAUAACGUCCGGAAACGGGCGCUAAUACCGAAUACGUCCUGAGGGAGAAAGUGGGGGAUCUUCGGACCUCACGCUAUCAGAUGAGCCUAGGUCGGAUUAGCUAGUUGGUGGGGUAAAGGCCUACCAAGGCGACGAUCCGUGACUGGUCUGAGAGGAUGAUCAGUCACACUGGAACUGAGACACGGUCCAGACUCCUACGGGAGGCAGCAGUGGGGAAUAUUGGACAAUGGGCGAAAGCCUGAUCCAGCCAUGCCGCGUGUGUGAAGAAGGUCUUCGGAUUGUAAAGCACUUUAAGUUGGGAGGAAGGGCAGUAAGUUAAUACCUUGCUGUUUUGACGUUACCAACAGAAUAAGCACCGGCUAACUUCGUG